GACGAACCGAGCGAACGUUGUUCGGAAUCACUGGGCUUAAAGGGCGCGUAGGCGGCUUCGCAAGUCCGGGGUGAAAGCCCCCAGCUCAACUGGGGAAGUGCCUUGGAUACUGCGGGGCUCGAGGGAGGUAGGGGCAGGUGGAACUUCCGGUGGAGCGGUGAAAUGCGUUGAUAUCAGAAGGAACGCCGGUGGCGAAAGCGGCGGACUGGAUCUCUUCUGACGCUGAGGCGCGAAAGCUAGGGGAGCAAACGGG
Molecule: ribosomal RNA, 253 nt
Filed under: uncultured bacterium
Lineage: Bacteria
Description: partial 16S ribosomal RNA
Rfam family: Bacterial small subunit ribosomal RNA
Source: RNAcentral